UUUUAUCCAAAUGAAGAAAGUCUUUUGCUUCUUCUCUUCUCCUUUUCUAUUUUCCUGCUUAAGGCAAAUAGAAAUGAAGCAAUUUGCAUAUGGGUUGCAGAUGGUAUUUUCAUGGUAUCCAUGCUUGAUGCUUAUAUUAAUGUUUUUUUUUUUUUCCCCAAGUUAUUUGGUGAUAUGAUUUACUUGAACUUUUGUAAGGUUAUUCUUCAAAGCAUGUGGAUUUGGGGAUGACAUAUUGGGUUCCACCACAAUGAUGUAUGCCAGGGCUGUUUCAACUUAUCCCGAAGGUGAUCAGAUGGUUAAAUCUGCAGGUCGAAGACUUCUACUCGUUCCACCGAUCAGAAAGCCCUUUGAACCUUAGAAGAGUGUCAAAUUGUAGAGUUCAGUGCAAGUGCUAAUAUUAGUAGAACAGGAGAGAAAGCAGAGUGUGAAUAUUAAACUUACGGCUGUGGAAACAAUAUCUAAGAAUGGAAGUGAAAAAGGGAACAGCAAACAAGGGGUUGGACUUUUUAGGUGAUUAUCAUUGGCUCCCUUCGUAAUGAAAUAACAUUUUAUCCUUUUAUUUAUUUAAGUAGUUUUUAAAAAUGAGUUUUGCACUUUUGUCUAUACUUAUUAUUGUUCAUACUUCUGAUUUAGGAUUUCUUAAUAAUAAAUUUAAAUAUGAGGCUAGUUGAAUUUAAAUAUUAAUCUUUCAGUAUGUCUUUUAUAUUAAAUUUUAAUAUUGAAAUAUGAUUUUUUUUUUUUUUAAUAUUAGAUAUAAAUAUUAGUUAUCACCGUAACAAUUUAGUUCAAGUAUUAGUAAUUUAAUCAUAAUAUUAAGAUUAAAAUGAUUCUAAAUUUUAUGUUGAAAUCAUAUCUUGCACUUAUUCAAUAUAAAAAUUUUCAUAAAAUCUAUUGUUUAACUGUGUAGUUUUCUACUUCAUCUAAUUUUACUACUAAAAAUGAGCCAAUGACACUUUUUUUUAUACUCAAUUUUAAUUAAAGCAUAAUCUAACAAGUUCACCCUAAUAGCCAAGGUAAAAAUAAUUUAUCAUAUGGGUUGGAAUAACAGAGAAACAUUGCAACUAAAUAUAUAAAAAUAUGUAUUAAAUUUUUUCUUAGAAAAAUAUGUAUAAACGUUACAAUUGAAUUUAAAAAAAUCAACAUGUAAACGUUAGAAUCAAAUAUAGAAAAAUUAAUAUGUAGCUGACAAUUUUAAAUGAAAGAACCAACUAUACCAAUUAAUUGUCUGUAAAUUUACCAUAAGUAGCAUGCAUUUAUAUAGCAAAAUAUUCAUCAAAUAGUGACACUUUUUUUUGCCAAGUGCGCGGCAAUAGAAAACCUAAGGCUUCAUUUAUUUCUGCACGAUAACUUAUUUUUGAAAAAUAUUCUUCAUAACUUAUUUUCUAUUAUUUUAUUAAAAUAUUAAAAUUUAUCCUUUAUAUUGCAAAAAAGAAAAAUUUAUUAUUAAUACUAAGGCAAAAAGUCUUCAUUAGUUUAGACUUUUGCAUGAUUUCUUGUGGCACACAGAUUUUUACUUGAACUUUUGUAAGGUUAUUCUUCAAAGCAUGUGGAUUUGGGGAUGACAUAUUGGGUUCCACCACAAUGAUGUAUGCCAGGGCUGUUUCAACUUAUCCCGAAGGUGAUCAGAUGGUUAAAUCUGCAGGUCGAAGACUUCUACUCGUUCCACCGAUCAGAAAGCCCUUUGAACCUUAGAAGAGUGUCAAAUUGUAGAGUUCAGUGCAAGUGCUAAUAUUAGUAGAACAGGAGAGAAAGCAGAGUGUGAAUAUUAAACUUACGGCUGUGGAAACAAUAUCUAAGAAUGGAAGUGAAAAAGGGAACAGCAAACAAGGGGUUGGACUUUUUAGGUGAUUAUCAUUGGCUCCCUUCGUAAUGAAAUAACAUUUUAUCCUUUUAUUUAUUUAAGUAGUUUUUAAAAAUGAGUUUUGCACUUUUGUCUAUACUUAUUAUUGUUCAUACUUCUGAUUUAGGAUUUCUUAAUAAUAAAUUUAAAUAUGAGGCUAGUUGAAUUUAAAUAUUAAUCUUUC
Molecule: long non-coding RNA, 2027 nt
Filed under: Jatropha curcas
Lineage: Eukaryota; Viridiplantae; Streptophyta; Magnoliopsida; Malpighiales; Euphorbiaceae
Description: long non-coding RNA (JCUR_LNC003301)
Source: RNAcentral